CACGUAGGCGGCUUUCUAAGUCGGGGGUGAAAUCCUGGAGCUCAACUCCAGAACUGCCUUCGAUACUGGAGAGCUCGAGUCCGGGAGAGGUGAGUGGAACUGCGAGUGUAGAGGUGAAAUUCGUAGAUAUUCGCAAGAACACCAGUGGCGAAGGCGGCUCACUGGCCCGGUACUGACGCUGAGGUGCGAAAGCGUGGGGAGCAAACA
This 207-nucleotide ribosomal RNA is filed under the name uncultured bacterium. RNAcentral's name for it is "partial 16S ribosomal RNA". It matches the Rfam family "Bacterial small subunit ribosomal RNA", at positions 568 to 774 of the family's 1533-position model. The record is from RNAcentral.